AAUCUUGUUGUUGUUGUCUUUCAAUUUAUUUACAGCUGGUUCGACCUGUUCCUACAUCUAUGGAGUUUCAUCUAGACAGUGCAGAAUACUGCCAGGCACAGCACAAAUAAAAAGGGGAAAAAGUCCGUAGCGAAAGUUUGACAAGGAAAUCAAAACGUUCGCGAAGGCGUUUAAAAGUCAGACGAAGAAACUGCAAGUUUAAGAAGGAAAA
Long non-coding RNA from Musca vetustissima, 211 nucleotides. RefSeq lists it as uncharacterized. The record is from RefSeq and is a predicted model, not a curated record. The transcript is spliced from 2 exons. NCBI's taxonomy places the organism in Eukaryota, Metazoa, Arthropoda, Insecta, Diptera, Muscidae.